Molecule: long non-coding RNA, 314 nt
Filed under: Lathyrus oleraceus (garden pea)
Lineage: Eukaryota; Viridiplantae; Streptophyta; Magnoliopsida; Fabales; Fabaceae
Description: Pisum sativum (pea) long non-coding RNA (PSAT_LNC041932)
Source: RNAcentral
GGUCCGAAGGGUAUCAAGUGCCAGAUUAUGAUUGUUAAGAGAAGUGGCACGAGCAGUAGAGAUAAGUGUAGGUGCAUCAGAGAGAGGAAGACUAUGACACUCAUAAACAGGAGGGGUUCUAGGGGGUGAAGGUGACUUACCCUUGUGUCAUACCUCAAUUUUGUCCCUCAUUCAGUAAAUCGAUACACUCAUCAUGAGUUUCGCAUCAUCUGCACAUCGUAGCAUGCAUUUCAUAGUGCACAAUGCCUGAAAUAUCAACCAGAAUACAUUUUUUAAUUUACAGACAGACCGGUCGAACUGAUCCUCAAAUGUAC